GCACAAGCGGUGGAGCAUGUGGUUUAAUUCGACGCAACGCGAAGAACCUUACCUGGGCUAGAAUGCCUCUGACAACCCUAGAGAUAGGGCCUUCUGGGUAAAACCAGACAGAGUGCAAGGUGCUGCAUGGCUGUCGUCAGCUCGCGUCGUGAGAUGUUGGGUUAAGUCCCGCAACGAGCGCAACCCUUAUCAAUAGUUGCCAGCAUUUAGUUGGGCACUCUAUUGAGACUGCCGUUGACAAAACGGAGGAAGGUGGGGAUGACGUCAAGUCCUCAUGGCCUUUAUGUCCAGGGCUACACACGUGCUACAAUGGCAGGUACAAACCGCAGCAAACUCGCAAGAGGGAGCCAAUCGGAAAAAGCCUGUCUCAGUUCGGAUUGCACUCUGCAACUCGAGUGCAUGAAGUUGGAAUCGCUAGUAAUCGCGGAUCAGCAUGCCGCGGUGAAUACGUUCCCGGGC
This 459-nucleotide ribosomal RNA is filed under the name uncultured bacterium. RNAcentral's name for it is "bacterial SSU rRNA". It matches the Rfam family "Bacterial small subunit ribosomal RNA", at positions 923 to 1379 of the family's 1533-position model. The record is from RNAcentral.